UUUCCGUAGGUGAACCUGCGGAAGGAUCAUUAUCGAUGGCCGCGCCGUGAGCGCCUGGCGGGAUCGGCCGGCCACUGACCACACCCUUACUUUACGAGCACCUUUCGUUCUCCUUCGGCGGGGCGACCCGCCGCUGGAACUCCAUCACGAACCUUUUUUUGCAUCCAGCAUUACCUGUUCUGAUAAAUUUAAUCGUUACAACUUUCAACAAUGGAUCUCUUGGCUCUGGCAUCGAUGAAGAACGCAGC
RNAcentral lists this unclassified non-coding RNA (248 nucleotides) under uncultured fungus. Its description in RNAcentral is "sequence contains ITS1, 5.8S rRNA gene". The stretch from base 200 to 248 matches the Rfam family "5.8S ribosomal RNA", at positions 1 to 49 of the family's 154-position model. Lineage: Eukaryota; Fungi. The record is from RNAcentral.